CAGUCGCCGCGGUAAUACGAAGGGGGCUAGCGUUGCUCGGAUUUACUGGGCGUAAAGGGCGCGUAGGCGGACAGUUAAGUCGGGGGUGAAAGCCCGGGGCUCAACCUCGGAAUUGCCUUCGAAACUGGCUGUCUUGAGUACGGGAGAGGUGAGUGGAACUCCGAGUGUAGAGGUGAAAUUCGUAGAUAUUCGGAAGAACACCAGUGGCGGAGGCGACUCACUGGCCCGUUACUGACGCUGAGGCGCGAAAGCGUGGGGAGCAAACAGGAUUAGAUACCCCUGUAGUCCCUGUCUCUUAUAC
This 301-nucleotide ribosomal RNA is filed under the name uncultured bacterium. RNAcentral describes it as "partial 16S ribosomal RNA". It matches the Rfam family "Bacterial small subunit ribosomal RNA", at positions 509 to 807 of the family's 1533-position model. The record is from RNAcentral.